GACGAACCGAGCGAACGUUGUUCGGAAUCACUGGGCUUAAAGGGCGCGUAGGCGGGUGCUCAAGUCCGGGGUGAAAUCCUCCAGCUCAACUGGAGAACUGCCUCGGAUACUGGGUGCCUCGAGUGUGGUAGGGGUGCGCGGAACUAUCGGUGGAGCGGUGAAAUGCGUUGAUAUCGAUAGGAACUCCGGUGGCGAAGGCGGCGCACUGGACCACAACUGACGCUGAGGCGCGAAAGCCAGGGGAGCAAACGGGAUUAGAUACCCCGGUAGUCCUGGCCCUAAACGAUGGGUACUAGCUAGUAGGGUUCACAUGGCUUUACUGGCGAAGCAAAAGUGCUAAGUACCCCGCCUGGGGAGUAUGGUCGCAAGGCUGAA
Molecule: ribosomal RNA, 375 nt
Filed under: uncultured bacterium
Lineage: Bacteria
Description: bacterial SSU rRNA
Rfam family: Bacterial small subunit ribosomal RNA
Source: RNAcentral